GACGAACGCUGGCGGCGUGCCUAAUACAUGCAAGUAGAACGCUGAAGGAGGAGCUUGCUUCUCUGGAUGAGUUGCGAACGGGUGAGUAACGCGUAGGUAACCUGCCUGGUAGCGAGGGAUAACUAUUGGAAACGAUAGCUAAUACCGCAUAAGAGUAGAUGUUGCAUGACAUUUGCUUAAAAGGUGCAAUUGCAUCACUACCAGAUGGACCUGCGUUGUAUUAGCUAGUUGGUGGGGUAACGGCUCACCAAGGCGACGAUACAUAGCCGACCUGAGAGGGUGAGCGGCCACACUGGGACUGAGACACGGCCCAGACGCCUACGGGAGGCAGCAGUAGGGAAUCUUCGGCAAUGGACGGAAGUCUGACCGAGCAACGCCGCGUGAGUGAAGAAGGGUUUCGGAUCGUAAAGCUCUGUUGUAAGAGAAGAACGAGUGUGAGAGUGGAAAGUUCACACUGUGACGGUAUCUUACCAGAAAGGGACGGCUAACUACGUG
Molecule: ribosomal RNA, 495 nt
Filed under: uncultured bacterium
Lineage: Bacteria
Description: partial 16S ribosomal RNA
Rfam family: Bacterial small subunit ribosomal RNA
Source: RNAcentral